RNAcentral lists this ribosomal RNA (497 nucleotides) under uncultured bacterium. Its description in RNAcentral is "partial 16S ribosomal RNA". It matches the Rfam family "Bacterial small subunit ribosomal RNA", at positions 28 to 507 of the family's 1533-position model. The record is from RNAcentral.
GAUGAACGCUGGCGGCGUGCCUAAUACAUGCAAGUCGAGCGAACGGACGAGAAGCUUGCUUUUCUGAUGUUAGCGGCGGACGGGUGAGUAACACGUGGAUAACCUACCUAUAAGACUGGGAUAACUUCGGGAAACCGGAGCUAAUACCGGAUAAUAUUUUGAACCGCAUGGUUCAAAAGUGAAAGACGGUCGUGCUGUAACUUCUAGAUGGAUCCGCGCUUCAUUAGCUAGUUGGUAAGGUAACGGCUUAUCAAGGCAACGAUGCAUAGCCGACCUGAGAGGGUGAUCGGCCACACUGGAACUGAGACACGGUCCAGACUCCUACGGGAGGCAGCAGUAGGGAAUCUUCCGCAAUGGGCGAAAGCCUGACGGAGCGACGCCGCGUGAGUGAUGAAGGUCUUCGGAUCGUAAAACUCUGUUAUUAGGGAAGAACAUAUGUGUAAGUAACUGUGCACAUCUUGACGGUACCUAAUCAGAAAGCCACGGCUAACUACAUG